GGGCGCGUAGCUCAGUUGGUUGGAGCGCUGCCUCGACACGGCAGAGGUCACAAGUUCGAGUCUUGUCGCGCCCA
RNAcentral lists this transfer RNA (74 nucleotides) under Desulfosudis oleivorans Hxd3. RNAcentral's name for it is "Desulfococcus oleovorans Hxd3 tRNA". It matches the Rfam family "tRNA". From Rfam's summary of the family: Transfer RNA (tRNA) molecules are approximately 80 nucleotides in length. Their secondary structure includes four short double-helical elements and three loops (D, anti-codon, and T loops). The record is from Rfam by way of RNAcentral. Lineage: Bacteria; Pseudomonadati; Thermodesulfobacteriota; Desulfobacteria; Desulfobacterales; Desulfosudaceae.